AGCAGCCGCGGUAAUUCCAGCUCCAAUAGCGUAUAUUAAAGUUGUUGCAGUUAAAAAGCUCGUAGUUGAAUUUCGGGAUUGACGUGAUGGUCAUGCCUUAAGGGGUAUGAACUGUUGCAGUUGAUUUCUCACCUUCUGGAGAAACUUGAUGUCCUUUAUUGGGUGUCUUGCGGAUCCAGGACCUUUACCUUGAAAAAAUUAGAGUGUUUAAAGCAGGCAUUUUUGCUCGAAUACAUUAGCAUGGAAUAAUAGAAUAGGACGGCAUGGUUCUAUUUUGUUGGUUUCUAGGAUCACCGUAAUGAUUAAUAGGGAUAGUUGGGGGCAUUAGUAUUCAAUUGUCAGAGGUGAAAUUCUUGGAUUUAUUGAAGACUAACUACUGCGAAAGCAUUUGCCAAGGAUGUUUUCAUUAAUCAAGAACGAAAGUUAGGGGAUCGAAGACGAUCAGAUACCGUCGUAGUCUUAACCAUAAACUAUGCCGACUAGGAAUCAGACGAUGUUAAUUUUUAAUGACUCGGUUUG
Molecule: ribosomal RNA, 519 nt
Filed under: uncultured Entrophospora
Lineage: Eukaryota; Fungi; Glomeromycota; Glomeromycetes; Entrophosporales; Entrophosporaceae
Description: SSU rRNA
Rfam family: Eukaryotic small subunit ribosomal RNA
Source: RNAcentral